Capsicum annuum is the source of this 592-nucleotide long non-coding RNA. RefSeq lists it as uncharacterized. The transcript is spliced from 3 exons. The record is from RefSeq and is a predicted model, not a curated record. NCBI's taxonomy places the organism in Eukaryota, Viridiplantae, Streptophyta, Magnoliopsida, Solanales, Solanaceae.
CUAAAGCUUAUCCGCCGCAGAUACUCCAACCUGAAAAAAUAUUGUCUACUCCACUGUUGAACUUAAGCUUCCUCUGGAAGUUGUUGUGGGUCAUCAAUUUUGUGCCUUGGUUAUUGUACGAUAGCUCUCAUACCAGCUAUCAGAACUGUGCUCUCCGGUUGUUGGGAAAAUCAUAUGUUUUGGUGCUUCAUUGAAGGGUUUAGACCCCUGAGAGUGCAUGAACAUGCAGCUACUGCUGGGAGGGAGAUAACAAGAUGCUCGGACUCGUAUGUAGCUGAAAUGUGUAUCACUCUGCAGGUGUAUCAUUAGAAGAUCUAGUAAAAACCUUUCCUUACACCGCGAGUCCUUUUUGUUGGUUGUAGUAGAAUAGGCUAUGUAGCUUUGUAUAGCUUUGAUGAGUGUAAUUUUUGUACAUAUUUGUUUUGCUCAAGUUAAGAUUUAGCCUAGUCAGCCCUUUUAGCCCCUCACUGGUGAAAUUCUCAUGUAUGGACACUGCAUCUUGUCACUGUUUAGAAUUCCCUUUCCUUUGGUUUCUAGUUGCUGAAAACUUGUAAAAAUGAAAUCACCUUUAUCGAUUGCAUGAUUUGCCGCA